Molecule: ribosomal RNA, 492 nt
Filed under: Limnonectes bannaensis (large-headed frog)
Lineage: Eukaryota; Metazoa; Chordata; Amphibia; Anura; Dicroglossidae
Description: partial large subunit ribosomal RNA
Rfam family: Bacterial large subunit ribosomal RNA
Source: RNAcentral
CCAGUGAUAUAAUUAAACGGCCGCGGUACCCUGACCGUGCAAAGGUAGCAUAAUCACUUGUUCUCUAAAUAGGGACUCGUAUCAACGGCAUCACGAGGGUUAUACUGUCUCCCCCCUCUAAUCAGUGAAACUGACCUCCCCGUGAAGAGGCGGGGAUACUUAUACAAGACGAGAAGACCCCAUGGAGCUUUAAACCCAAUAACAACCUCCACCAAAAUAUCUCAAUAAUGAAGAGGCACUGUUUAUUGGUUUUAGGUUGGGGUGACCACGGAGAAAAACCAAACCUCCAUGACGAAUGGAACUUAAACCUAAUCUAAGAGCCACUACUCCAAGAAUCAUUAAUUUGACAUAAUUUGAUCCGGCAACCGAUCAACGAACCAAGUUACCCUGGGGAUAACAGCGCAAUCCAUUUCAAGAGCCCCUAUCGACAAAUGGGUUUACGACCUCGAUGUUGGAUCAGGGUAUCCCAGUGGUGCAGCCGCUACUAAAGGU